UAACAAAAAAAAAAAAAUACAGUAUAAACUUUUAAUAAUUGUAGAACAAGGAUGUACUAUACAGGAAGGGUCUAUUUCUUCCUUGUAUAUUGUAAUAAAGAACAGGUCAGAUAACUCCUGUUUUAAGUUAAGCCAUGUUAUUUGAUGAGUUGUGCUUCCUGAAACAAAAUAAUAGCAUUAUUUGUGUACAAAUUUCCUGUGUAAUAUGUCUUGUUAAUUAUUUGUAUUCACAUAUUAUUGACCUCGAGAUUAACAUAUUGCCACUAUUAACCAUUAACCGACUAAUAUGUCCAUUCAAUGCAAAGAAGUUUUCUUAGUAUAUUUUAAUAUUUUUUUUUAAAAUAAACAAGCGAAGUCUACAAUAUAUGUUUACUUUCGGUGAAAUACCUGGAAAAUUUUGAUCAAAUCUUGUGUAGUGUCGUAGCAGUCCACAGAGUGGUAUGGACCUAUCUGAAUAAUAUAAUAGACGGAUUUAUGUUUUUUAUAAUAUUAGGUUACCAAGAGUUAAAGGAAUAGAACAUACAUUUAAAUAGAUAAAACAUAGAGACUUUAUAUUUGUACAUUUAUCAGUUCUGUUUCAUUUUCCUUGCAAUUAAAUGUAUCUGAUUUAGUCAGAUAGUUAUUAGCCCAAUGAUUAUUCACUGAUAUUUGAAUACCUAUGCAUAUUAACUUCUUUAAUGGAAAUUAAAUAAUUUAAUGCUAACUUUCAUACAUUGAUUGCAAUAUCCAACAUUUUAUCAUCAGGAUUUUUCGUUAAUGCUUCAAUAUAUUAUGAGCCUUUUUGGACUUGGGAACUCUAUAGAGUAUGUUACCUACGUGGCAGAGCCUUUGGGAUUUUGUUAAACAGAUUGCAAAUCUAUGGCCUAGAAAUAAAACAUUUAUACCUGUUUUAAAUGUCUGUGUCUAGAUAUGUUUCUUUUGUGGUGAAUGACUUCAUUCAUAUUAUCGUUUUGUUUUUACAUAUAAAAUUGUCUGAUAUAUUUUCGAUUUGUAAAUUCAAUUUGUAAUUAACUUGUAAAUACUGUAAAUAAAUAUAUUUUUUUAAAAAGAAAA
Non-coding RNA from Biomphalaria pfeifferi, 1053 nucleotides. The record is from the annotation of a GenBank genome assembly. Lineage: Eukaryota; Metazoa; Mollusca; Gastropoda; Planorbidae.